GAGCGAGGUGCGGAGGUGAUUGACAUGCCAGGAGGGGCAGCCGCUUCUGGAAAGGGCCAGAGAGCAACUGCUUUAGGCUUCCUGGCCCAUUUGUUCUCUUUUAUAUUCUUUUGUGUGUCUUUUUAUAUCUCUUUCAAAAGGCAAAGUCGUUCUUAGCUUAUGGGCUACACAGAACAGGCAGCAGACCUGACUUGGGCCGUGGCUGCAGUAUGCCUGCCCUGGGCCAGAUUCUGAAGCAGGUUUGCAGAAGGACAGUGGACACAUCCCGUGGGCCCUGUCAUGGCAGAGGGCUUCUGCUGAGCCUUUCACACUGGCGUUGUAAAGCCAGACUGGGCCAUCCAUCAGUCACGCAGCGCCAGAAGCCAGGCUGCGUUUGCUGUGCCCCAGUAGCACAGUGGAGCUGAAUCGGCAGCCACAGGGGGCGUCUGCUUCCCCUCCCCCCGCAGCUGCUGACAAUGUGCUUCCGUUCCCAGAGCCUUCCUCCCACUGCCACACACCGGCGGCGUCUCAGGACCUUGUGGUGGUCCUGGUCCUCCUCACAGGGCAGGGGGCUUCCCUCUGGUCCUUCCUGUCAUUUCAGCUCUUCAGAUCUUGGAGUGAGUGCUUUGUGGGGAUCCUGCCUACACCUGUUAUCUAAUCCAAAGUACACUCAGGAAUUGGAAGUGAUUGCAGUUCUAGGUCGGGACACUUCACUUCUCAUGGCCAGCCAUGGGCCGUUCUCAAGGUGACCAGGAUUCCCUGAAGAUUGAGGGGUUUCAGUCUUAUGUGGGGACAGGUGAGAGUGGAGCACUGUGCUUUGCAGUCACUUGGCCGAGCCCUGUGUCCCAGUCCUGCGUUUCCCUGUGCUGAGACAGCCUGGCUGCUUCUCUUUUGCUCCUUUAGCCUCUGCCACAGACGCGUCCAGGCUUGGCUAUGCUGAUUGCUCCUCUUGCUUGCACCUGUCUAUCUUUGACACCUCCCUCCCCACUGGGAGCAGGGUCCCUGUUAUCAGGAAGCCACCUCCUGCUGCCUCAGACAUCAGAGCUUUUCAGAAGUGUUGCUGCUCCUGGCACUACUGCCAGGGGAAAGGAUAGACCAUAGGGAAACCAGCCAGGGAGAGACCUGGUGUCAUCUCCCUCAGCCAGUCAGUGGAUCUCUGCUAGAGAAACCAGCCAGGGAGAGACCUGGUGUCAUCUCCCCAGCCAGUCAGUGGAUCUCUGCUAGGGAAACCAGCCAGGGAGAGACCUGGUGUCCCCCACCCCCCGCCCCGCCCCAGCCAGUCAGUGGAUCUCUGCUAGGGAAACGAGACAGGGAGAGCCCUGGUAUCCCCCCCGCCCCUCCCCUAGAAUCUAGUGUGAUUAAAUGUUUUCGAACCUCUGGGGAACGACAGGAGAUGCCCCGGCGCCCGGCCCUGGCCACGGGACCCGAG
This 1408-nucleotide long non-coding RNA is filed under the name Oryctolagus cuniculus (rabbit). Its description in RNAcentral is "lncRNA (ENSOCUG00000038904.1)". The record is from RNAcentral. Lineage: Eukaryota; Metazoa; Chordata; Mammalia; Lagomorpha; Leporidae.